GAAAAAGGUAGGUGGUUGGAUGUGGAUGAGGAAGGAGAAGUUUUGGAGCUUAGGUUGAUCAUAACAAGUCAUUGUACCGACAAAUUAUUACCCUUGACCAAUGGAUAACACCUUGCCAUUCCACGGCUUUCAAGAUUCACGAGUUGGUUUCCUAUUUGCCGGGGCUUAUGUAAAUCCUCUCUUACAAUAUGGAACACCAUCGCUU
RNAcentral lists this long non-coding RNA (205 nucleotides) under Solanum tuberosum (potato). RNAcentral describes it as "long non-coding RNA (STUB_LNC008414)". Lineage: Eukaryota; Viridiplantae; Streptophyta; Magnoliopsida; Solanales; Solanaceae. The record is from RNAcentral.